AAUCAACGCUGGCGGCGUGCCUCAGACAUGCAAGUCGAACGCGAAAGUCCCCUUCGGGGGGCGAGUAGAGUGGCGCACGGGUGAGUAACACGUAGGUAAUCUACCUUUGGGUGGGGAAUAACGACCGGAAACGGUCGCUAAUACCGCAUAAUGCAGCGGCUCGACAUCGAGACAGUUGUUAAAGCGGGGGAUUCGCAAGAACCUCGCGCCUAAAGAGGAGCCUGCGGCAGAUUAGCUAGUUGGUAGGGUAAUGGCCUACCAAGGCGACGAUCUGUAACCGGCCUGAGGAGGGCGGUCGGUCACACUGACACUGACAUACGGGUCAGACUCCUACGGGAGGCAGCAGUCGGGAAUUUUGGGCAAUGGGCGAAAGCCUGACCCAGCAACGCCGCGUGAAGGAUGAAAUCCC
This 409-nucleotide ribosomal RNA is filed under the name uncultured bacterium. RNAcentral's name for it is "bacterial SSU rRNA". It matches the Rfam family "Bacterial small subunit ribosomal RNA", at positions 32 to 417 of the family's 1533-position model. The record is from RNAcentral.